Molecule: ribosomal RNA, 390 nt
Filed under: Skeletonema sp.
Lineage: Eukaryota; Bacillariophyta; Thalassiosirophyceae; Thalassiosirales; Thalassiosiraceae
Description: partial small subunit ribosomal RNA
Rfam family: Eukaryotic small subunit ribosomal RNA
Source: RNAcentral
AUUCCAGCUCCAAUAGCGUAUAUUAAAGUUGUUGCAGUUAAAAAGCUCGUAGUUGGAUUUCUGGCAGGAGUGACUGACCACAAACUCUGUUUGUGAGUUGUGUCAUUCUGGCCAUCCUUGGUAAGAUCCUUUUUGGCAUUAAGUUGUCGGGAAGGGGAUGACCAUCGUUUACUGUGAAAAAAUUAGAGUGUUUAAAGCAGGCUUAUGCCGUUGAAUAUAUUAGCAUGGAAUAAUAAGAUAGGACUUUGAGUCUAUUUUGUUGGUUUGCGCAUCAAGGUAAUGAUUAAUAGGGUCAGUUGGGGGUAUUCGUAUUCCGUUGUCAGAGGUGAAAUUCUUGGAUUUACGGAAGACGAACGACUGCGAAAGCAUUUACCAAGGAUGCUUUCAUCA